CUUCCGUAGGUGAACCUGCGGAAGGAUCAUUAAGAAA
RNAcentral lists this ribosomal RNA (37 nucleotides) under Metschnikowia hawaiiensis. Its description in RNAcentral is "partial 18S ribosomal RNA". The record is from RNAcentral. Lineage: Eukaryota; Fungi; Ascomycota; Pichiomycetes; Serinales; Metschnikowiaceae.